UAGGGAAUCUUCCGCAAUGGACGCAAGUCUGACGGAGCAACGCCGCGUGAGUGAUGAAGGUUUUCGGAUCGUAAAGCUCUGUUGCCCUAGACGAACAGCAAGGCGAGUAACUGCGCUUUGUGUGACGGUAUAGGAGAAGAAAGCCCCGGCUAACUACGUGCCAGCAGCCGCGGUAAUACGUAGGGGGCAAGCGUUGUCCGGAAUUAUUGGGCGUAAAGCGCGCGCAGGCGGUUAAUUAAGUUGGGUGUUUAAGCCCGGGGCUCAACCCCGGUUCGCAUCCAAAACUGGUUGACUUGAGUGUAGGAGAGGAAAGUGGAAUUCCACGUGUAGCGGUGAAAUGCGUAGAGAUGUGGAGGAACACCAGUGGCGAAGGCGACUUUCUGGCCUAUAACUGACGCUGAGGCGCGAAAGCGUGGGGAGCAAACA
This 426-nucleotide ribosomal RNA is filed under the name uncultured Paenibacillus sp. RNAcentral describes it as "bacterial SSU rRNA". It matches the Rfam family "Bacterial small subunit ribosomal RNA", at positions 355 to 774 of the family's 1533-position model. The record is from RNAcentral. Lineage: Bacteria; Bacillati; Bacillota; Bacilli; Caryophanales; Paenibacillaceae.